UGACUGAGCUGUUGCAGGCGUGGCAAGAUUUGCGCGCGCCGGAUCAGACGGAUGUUGGUGGCCGUCCCGAGGAUCUUGUUCUUGCACGGCUAG
This 93-nucleotide transfer RNA is filed under the name Phaeobacter porticola. Its description in RNAcentral is "tRNA-Ala". The record is from RNAcentral. Lineage: Bacteria; Pseudomonadati; Pseudomonadota; Alphaproteobacteria; Rhodobacterales; Roseobacteraceae.